Molecule: ribosomal RNA, 253 nt
Filed under: uncultured bacterium
Lineage: Bacteria
Description: partial 16S ribosomal RNA
Rfam family: Bacterial small subunit ribosomal RNA
Source: RNAcentral
UACGAAGGGGGCUAGCGUUGCUCGGAAUGACUGGGCGUAAAGCGCACGUAGGCGGAUCUUUAAGUCAGGGGUGAAAUCCCGAGGCUCAACCUCGGAACUGCCUUUGAUACUGGGGAUCUCGAGUCCGGGAGAGGUGAGUGGAACUGCGAGUGUAGAGGUGAAAUUCGUAGAUAUUCGCAAGAACACCAGUGGCGAAGGCGGCUCACUGGCCCGGAACUGACGCUGAGGUGCGAAAGCGUGGGGAGCAAACAGG